This 8192-nucleotide long non-coding RNA is filed under the name Triticum aestivum (bread wheat). RNAcentral describes it as "long non-coding RNA (TAES_LNC008404)". The record is from RNAcentral. Lineage: Eukaryota; Viridiplantae; Streptophyta; Magnoliopsida; Poales; Poaceae.
GAAUAUGCCAGUAAACUUGCACAAUGCAAGUGGUUGUGAAUCCCAUCUUGGGAAUGUCUUCUCAUCAGAUCAUCAAUUGGCACCAAUAUCAUCUCAGAGAAAGACAUUCCAAAAACACAUGAUAUAAAAUGCCCUUCCUUGAAAACUUUUCAACCGCUAGAGUAUCUAAAGAAAAAGACGGUAACUGUGCAGUAACUUUUUAGUCAAGGGAGGAGGUCUGGCUCAGCUCAGUGAGUAUCUUUUCCCUUGGUUGUAUCUUUAGUGCCAAGAUCUCUUCCCAAGCUGCUUCUCGGCGUGAUUGAAAAUGUAAUGCCAUGGAUAGUCAUUAUGAGUACUACUGUUUGCUUUACCGAUAGCUCUUGGUGGAACAGUCUUAACGCUUCUGGUGCUUCUGAGGGCAUCGAUUGGUGCAGUGGCCUUCUUCCUUGCAACGGAAGCAUGUAACCACCCGUGUUGAUGUGUUGUCUACUGUAACCAAAGGACUAGACUUGUGGACGGUCUAUGAUUGAUGUUUCAACGGACACUUCUUGCGCCUGUGCCCUUCCUCACCACACCUUACACAUCGGACAUUCGAUUUACGCUUCAUUUCUGAUGAUUUCUGGCCCUUCUGAGGGCAUUUCUUGGCUUUGUGGCCUUCUUCAUUGCAUAAGGAGCAUAUAAACACUCGUGUUGGACAGCCCUUGGCCCUGUGCCCUUCCUGACCACAGCUAACACAUCGAAGAACCCACUUCAUUUCUGAUGAAUGUUUAGCAGUACCAGGGUCCUGUUCUUCCAAUACUUUGGACAUGUUGGAGGAUGUAGCUAUAGUGCUUCUCUCUUCUAAUUUUUUUGACGCGUUGCCAGAUAUAGCUCCGAACUUCUGCGGACACAUACGGGCAUCGUGACCUUCUUCACGGUAUGUAAAGCACAUCCUUUUCUUCCCUUCUGUUUUUGUUUUACAUGUUCUAACCAUUGGACUAGACUUGUUGGGGGUCAGUACUUUUGCUUUUGAGGGGCAACACUGAUCGUACAAUAUCGGCUUCCUUGCUGAUGAUUGUUUAGCAGUACCUGUAUCAGGGUCCCGUUCUUCUAAUUCUUUGGACAGGUUGGCCGAUGUAGCUAUAGUGUUGCUCUCUUCAAAUUCUUCGGACUGGCCGGGGCUGUUCUGAGGACACUGAAAGGCAAAGUGACCUUCUUCACGGCAUGUAAAGCAAAUUGGACUAGACUUGUUGGCGGUCAGUACUCUUCCUUCUGAUUUUGCGUAACACUUGGCAGGUGUAGAUGAUGGGUUGCGUUGUUUUGAUAGUGCAAGCCGCAGAGCCGCUUGGAAGUUGUCUCUCUGGCCCUGAAAUGCCUCAGUCAAUACUGAAUUCAAGGGGCACUGAGCAAGAUAAUGAUCCUGACAUUCACAGAUAAAGCAUUUAACUUGGCUUAAACGGCACUCUCCAUCGUCAUGAUACUCGUCACAGCUUGAGCAACCGAGACCAUGUGUAUUGGUAGUAUGCCCUAUCUCUCCACAGCGGGUGCAAGCUCGAUUCUCCGACUUGUUCUGCUGGCAACACCACAUGCUACAGUGGCCAUUUUUGCUACAGACCGCGCAAAUGAUUUUGUGCUCUUGGUCCUUGAAAUGGCACUCAGAACUGUAAUGUCCUUCAUUGCCACAGACCAAACAAGUGAUUACACCGUUCUUUUUGUCCUGAAUGUACCUACUUUCCAGAUCUUGUUGGUAUGGGCUGGACGUCAGAAAGAAUCGAUCUCCUGAAACAUGGAAAUUAUUUUGCCUCCCUGGCGAGGGGGUGAGUGAAGCACCAUUCCAUGGAGGCCUCUGUUGCGGAUAGUGGCCUUGGUACCCAAAGGAAUGCCAUGCGAUGUGCUUCGCUGUAUGUUGGUGUUGGUUCUCCCACUUUCUUUUUGACCCGAUUUCCUGACUCUUGGCAGAUGAUCCCAUCUGGUUAAUUGUUUCUGACCAGGGAUAACAGACAAGAGGAGAAAACAUGAGACAAGGAAGAAUGUAGUUUGAGGUGUACGAUGAAACGAUUGAUAUUCUAGACGCUGCUGUGUAGAUGCAACAGAAUAUAGCCCAUACAGCUAAAGAGCAUCCGCUGAUGUGCAUGCAAACAAACAAAUUGUCUUUUUUGAAUCUCCGAAUGUACAUCGAGUUUUUAGCUGAAUUUUUUCGGAGUUGUAGACAUACCCCACAUGAAUGUUACUAUCAAACAAUUUCAGAUUUUUUUGAAAUGACUAGAUGGUGUUGAUCUCCCUCACGAUCUCACCUAAAUGUGAGAUCUCAUACAAGUCUCCCCCACUAUAUAGUAUAGGUGCAAAACAAAUGCCUUAACCAUAUAUUUGUGUUUGAGCAAAGGUGUUGAUAUCCUCCUACUGUCGAUGCGAAAAAUCUAACAUGUGAAGAGAGAGGCUGUAACAGCAUAAUUCUGUGAUGUACAAAGCUCUGUCCUUUGUAAAGAAAGAAACGACUAACAGGGCAAUUGCUUCAGUAGCAGUCAAUUUUGCUUGUUUUGUGCUGCCAGAAGCAACAGCAAAUUGCUUAAUGAGCAGCGUGAUAUACUAAGAUAUGAAAGAGGGGGGAUGAACAAAUCGGAUUCAGGACCUAAUCAUGGGGAAGAAUUCAUUCACCGUUUCAACCUACCGCAUGCACCAAAUCACCUAUCGAAUUAGUGGAUGCAGGCGGGAUAAUAAUCGAUCUAAAAUCUAAAAUCUAAAUGGAAGGGGAAUGGAUCAAGAAAAGACGGGGGAGACACACGAGGAGAUGGGAAGCGUAAGGCCUACUACCUGAGGGCAGGGGAGCAGGAGAAGGGAGCCCCGGCGGCGGCGGCGACGACGACGGUGGUGAACUGGUGGCGGCGGGGUCGACAGCCGGCGGCGGCUGCUCUGCUGUUUUGGUUGGGAAUUGAAGCAAGCAGGCCGUGGUGGNNNNNNNNNNNNNNNNNNNNNNNNNNNNNNNNNNNNNNNNNNNNNNNNNNNNNNNNNNNNNNNNNNNNNNNNNNNNNNNNNNNNNNNNNNNNNNNNNNNNNNNNNNNNNNNNNNNNNNNNNNNNNNNNNNNNNNNNNNNNNNNNNNNNNNNNNNNNNNNNNNNNNNNNNNNNNNNNNNNNNNNNNNNNNNNNNNNNNNNNNNNNNNNNNNNNNNNNNNNNNNNNNNNNNNNNNNNNNNNNNNNNNNNNNNNNNNNNNNNNNNNNNNNNNNNNNNNNNNNNNNNNNNNNNNNNNNNNNNNNNNNNNNNNNNNNNGAGACAAAGUUCCUUCUUUUUGUGGUGCUCGCUACGUUUUUUUUCUUUUUUGGUUCCUUCUAUUCUUUCUUCGAUUUGUUUUGUUUUUCACUGGUUUUCUUUGGGUUUUUUUAUUUUUUCUUCGCUUUACUUUGGUUUCUUUGUUUUCUCAUUGAUUUUAUUUUGGUUUAUUCUUUCUUUCGCUAUGCUUUGGUUUCUUUGUUUUCUCAAUACAAUAGGUUUUCUUUUUCUUUUUAGUCAGGUUUUAUCCAUUUUUGUUUCUUUUUCAGCGCAUGUCUACUUUUUCCCAGUACACAGUGUACAUUUUAUAGCACACAUGAUACAAUUUUAUGAUACACGCUACACAUUUUCCAAAUGGGUGACAAAUAACUUUUUAAACUCAUGUUUUGAACAGUUUUUAAAUCCAUGGAUUUUUUUUCAAAUACACAAAAAUAUUUCUUUUAAACUAAUCCCUCCGAUCCAUAUUAAUUGUCGCUGAUUUAGUAUAAAUUUGCACUAGAUCGGCGAUGAUUAAUAUGAAUUGGACGGCAUAAACAUUGCUUUACAUUGUAUAGUUUUUUUAAAAAAUCAUAGAAUUUUUUUGGAAACACGCGGAUAUUUAUUGAAAGUCAUGAUACGCUUUUUCGUGGAAAUGUUUUAACCAACAUGAAUUUUUCUUACAUAUUUUAUAUAUCAUUUUUUAAAUGCAUGAACAUUUUCAUGAUAUGCGGGAAUGUUUCCAUCAAAUGUUAUAUACAUUUUGAGUGGCACGAAACAAUUUUUUUUGCAUUAUCAAAAAUAAAAUAAGAUGGUGUACGCACUUUUUAAUAAUUUCGCAUGUAUUUCUUUUUUAAACACGGGAAGUUUUUUAUUGCCACAAAUAUUUUUUUUGAAUGUUGUCAACUUUUACUUUUUUUAGGGAUAUCAACAUUUGAAUACACUAUCCCUCUCGCCAGGGUUUGUUCCUUCUCUCGCUGACUUCGCUGGUGUAGAGCUUUCUCUCCUCCUAUUCAUCCAUCCUCACUGAUGAGGACAUCCCAACCAUGGACACCACACCACCAAUCAUCAACGGGUCAAUUACAAGAAGUCGCGCAAUGCAAAUAUAUGAUCAAGUGAACACUAACUUAAGUUUACCAUUUGACCUUGAAAACAUGGUUGUGCCAUCACCUCCUUUGUUGUUGGUUGAACUCAGGUGCAAUGUCGAAGAAAGCCAAACACAUUUCAAUUCGUGCAAAACAAUGUUUUAUGGUGAAGAAACAAAGUUAGGAGUUCAUGAAGAAAUGAGUUGUCUGCUGAAGAAACAUUGUUCCAACUCUGGCGAAACAAUGUUUUGCACGAGUUUGGAUAUCCCAACUUGCGAAAGGUUUUCAGAACUCGAGUUUGUUGUUGAAGGAAACAUUGUUCGACCCCAGUGAACAAUGUUUGGUCGGGAACUGCCAACCACCUCCGAUGAGAGAUUUCCAGAAGAUACCUCAUUAAGUCUCGAAACCAUUUAGUCCUACCAAAGUUGGUUCUCUUUUCACAUCUAAGCUGGUUCCCAAAGCUAGUUUUGUUUUGACACCUAUCAAAGGGGGUUGUCCUGAUUAUAAAUAGGCUAGCUCUUCCCUUCAUUGGGGACUUUUGCCAUUUCUAUCAAAGACCCAAGACAUAGACUCCUCCUGAGAUUGGAGAGCUCUUAUUAUCCUUAUUCUCGUGAUUCCUUGAGAAAUUGCUCCUAAUUCGUGCUCCACGACUAGAUCGUAUUGUGUGGGUUAGAGUUCGUGAUUUCCCUUGCGGAUUGCACCUAUCCCGUGCUCCACGACUUGAGCGUGGUUGUGUGGGGUAGUAUUGCGGGUUGUGGAUCAGCGAAUGUUCGGAUUGCAGGAUUCGGUGAGCAUCCUCCUCGUCGCGUCAUAAUCUCUUAUUUUCUGUUUUUCGGCUGCUUGCAACUUGUUAUCCGCAUCCAUUUAUCGAUCCUACGCCGUGAAGAUCGGACCUCCCCUUGUACACCCUCUUGUCCGAAGACGGUGUCGCAUCACUCACCAUGACUUUCGCUCGGGUUGAUCCAGGCGGUCUCUACAAUGAUGCUCGGCCUUGGUGAUACGUGGCAACGACGGGGUUCAAGGAGUUUCUCCGAGUAGAUUGAUUAGUGUUUUGUGAUUAGCAAUCCGUCAGAUUUUUCAUCACAGAAGAGGGGAAUGGAUCAUCUUGAGGGUAUGAUGGAAAGAUUGGGUCUCUUGAGGAAGACAUAAAAAAAUGUUGUGUUCGAGAGGGAGGACCACCAUCGAAAAAUACUUCACGGCGGGUUGAUUUAGCCAAGAUCCAAAAAAUAAGGAAUACUUCCAGUUUUGUUUUUUCAAAAAUACGCCUUCAGUCAGGGAGCUAGUGUAGGAGGUUCGGAUUCGACAUCUCGAACAUAAUAUAUAUUUGAUGUGUCUCAAACGUAUCCAUAAAAUUUUAUUGUCUCAUGCUAUUAUAAUAUCACUUUGAAUACUAUACAUAGCAAAAAGAAAAUCCCAAACUAACCUAUUAAUUCAGUGGCCAAAGCGAGUUGUUGUUUUCUACAUGUUUUCGACUUUUCAGAAAAUCCAUAUCUACGAAGGUCAAAUUAUACCGGGGAUUUAAUAUGAUUUUUUCCAAGUUAUGAAGAUUUCAGAAAAUUUCGAGAGGGGCCAGGUGUGGUCCCCACACGGCCAAGCCAAAAAGCUAGGGGCCCACAUGCGUGGGGCAGCCAUGUGGGGCCCCUCGGUCCGGAUAUUUGCUGGCGUUUUGAGGGUCCACAUUGGAGACGCCCUUAGCGGGGUUUCCCCUGAAAAAUUAAACAUUUAAAAAAGGAGAGGCCAAAGAUAUUUACACAUGAACUUGUUUUUUGUUGUUCCUGUGGAGCUCAACUCUUCAAGUAUCUCAUCAUGAAACUUUACACACAUGUAGAAUACAUCCUUAAGUACUUGUGUAUACUUUCAUAUAUUUUGUAAACUUUAAAAAAAUAUGAUUUGUAAUUAAGAAAAAAAAACAGAAAGGGGCUCCAAAACACCCCACUCUCAAAGAUGAGCCCUCAAGAGCGCACAGUUUCAGCCCUUAUACAGACAAGCCAUGAAACCUGGUGAGCAAAAUACGAACGCCGGAUAAUUCGAAUUACACACGGCGAGUUUCCACUUUCCAUCCUCUGUGCUGUCUACUGAUGCCCUGUUACAUACACAUAGAUAAUAAUCAUAAGUAGAACUCCGAAAUAUUCAAGCAAAUGAAGCUAGCUCCUUCUUUCUGAAGAUAAUAGAAGUGACACGAAAAUAACUUUAAAGUAAGCAGCAAGCAAAUCAGGGAUCGCCCAGGCGAUGGACUAGCGCUCAAAUGUUGGUUCUAUACCUAAUUUUACAUUACUGUACAAGGUAAUCUGCUAAGUGCUAAUCUGGCGCAUUAUAAGCAAAAGCUGCUAAGUGCAAACUAACAGACUGCAUCCUACAUUAGCAUUUUUCAGUUCAAAGUUCAAACUUCUUUGACUAUACAAGCAACAAAACUUGGGGCAUACUCAUGUAGAAGUUCAAUGUAGGGUUUCCACGUUUUCAGGCUAGAAUGAAGUUGUAUGAUUAUAUCAUUAUGUAGUCACUGAAAAUCAAUGGUCCUAAAGUGCGGUUCUACAAAUUAACCACAGUAUAACUUAUGGAUCAACAUUAUCUAUGUUCCAGCAAUCGACCCCCCAUGUAUUGAGCAAGGAUGAGUAACCAUUUUCUCUUCGGCAAAUCCUUAUUCUGAAUGCAUGUUAUGGAAUGGUUAAGUGGGGAGCUUAUUUUGGAUCUUUGAGAAGACAACAGCAGUAUGUAUUUCGAUACAAAUAACACUUAUACAGAGGAUUGGUUUGAAAGAAAGCAAUUGCAGUACUUUGAAGGUUAUUCGUUAGUGAACAUUCAGUCUGCCAACACUAGUCUUUUUAAGCCUUCGUUAGGGCCGGGUCCAAGGCCAGGUCCGGAUCGGCCCGUUCCCAUCCUGAUGCCUAAGUUAGUAAGUUUGUUAUGUGUGCUCCUGCCAAAAAACUUCACUAGGCCCUCUACCAGAAACAAAACAAAAAGGUUCUUACCCAGAUGUAUCCCGUACACUUGUUCAUCAAGUGCAUGAAGUAUGGAGAAGCAUUUACUACCAAGGAAUAUGCCAGUAAACUUGCACAAUGCAAGUGGUUGUGAAUCCCAUCUUGGGAAUGUCUUCUCAUCAGAUCAUCAAUUGGCACCAAUAUCAUCUCAGAGAAAGACAUUCCAAAAACACAUGAUAUAAAAUGCCCUUCCUUGAAAACUUUUCAACCGCUAGAGUAUCACAAGAAAAAGACAGUAACUGUGCAGUAACUUUUUGGUCAAGGGAGGAGGUCUGGCUCAGCUCAGUGAGUAUCUUUUCCCUUGGUUGUAUCUUUAGUGCCAAGAUCUCUUCCCAAGCUGCUUCUCGGCGUGAUUGAAAAUGUAAUGCCAUGUAUAGUCAUUAUGAGUACCACUGUUUGCUAUACCGAUAGCUCCUGGUGGAGCAGUCUUAAUGCUUCCGGUGCUUCUGAGGGCAUCGUUUGGCGCAGUGGCCUUCUUCCUUGCAACGGAAGCAUGUAACCACUCAUGUUGAUGUGUUGUCUACUGUAACCAAAGGACUAGACUUGUGCACGGUCUACGAUUGAUGUUUCAACGGACACUUCUUGCGCCUGUGCCCUUCCUCACCACACCUUACACAUCGGACAAUCGAUUUAGGCUUGUUGGCGGCCAGUACUUUUCCUUCUGAUUUUGCGGAACACUUGGGAGGUGUAGAUGAUGGGUCGCGUUGUUUUGAUAGUGCAAGCCGCAGAGCAGCUUGGAAGUUCUCUCUCUGACUCUGAAAUGCCUCAGUCAAUACUGAAUUCAAGGGGCACUUAGCAAGAUAAUGAUCCUGACACUCACAAAGAAAGCAUUUAACACCGCCCAAUCGGCACUCUCCAUCCUCAUGAUACUCGUCACAGCUUGAGCAACUGAGACCAUGUGUACUGGUACUGUGCCCUAUCUCUCCACAG